This 495-nucleotide ribosomal RNA is filed under the name uncultured bacterium. RNAcentral's name for it is "partial 16S ribosomal RNA". It matches the Rfam family "Bacterial small subunit ribosomal RNA", at positions 28 to 507 of the family's 1533-position model. The record is from RNAcentral.
GACGAACGCUGGCGGCGUGCCUAAUACAUGCAAGUAGAACGCUGAAGGAGGAGCUUGCUUCUCUGGAUGAGUUGCGAACGGGUGAGUAACGCGUAGGUAACCUGCCUGGUAGCGGGGGAUAACUAUUGGAAACGAUAGCUAAUACCGCAUAAUAGUAGAUGUUGCAUGACAUUUGCUUAAAAGGUGCAAUUGCAUCACUACCAGAUGGACCUGCGUUGUAUUAGCUAGUUGGUGGGGUAACGGCUCACCAAGGCGACGAUACAUAGCCGACCUGAGAGGGUGAUCGGCCACACUGGGACUGAGACACGGCCCAGACUCCUACGGGAGGCAGCAGUAGGGAAUCUUCGGCAAUGGACGGAAGUCUGACCGAGCAACGCCGCGUGAGUGAAGAAGGUUUUCGGAUCGUAAAGCUCUGUUGUAAGAGAAGAACGAGUGUGAGAGUGGAAAGUUCACACUGUGACGGUAUCUUACCAGAAAGGGACUGCUAACUACGUG